UCCCUGGUGGUCUAGUGGUUAGGAUUCUGCGCUUUCACUGCUGUGAACCAGGUUCAAUCCCUGGUCAGGGAA
Molecule: transfer RNA, 72 nt
Filed under: Bos taurus (domestic cattle)
Lineage: Eukaryota; Metazoa; Chordata; Mammalia; Artiodactyla; Bovidae
Also listed under: 5 other names
Description: tRNA-Glu (TTC) (tRNA-Glu-TTC-24-1)
Rfam family: tRNA
About the family: Transfer RNA (tRNA) molecules are approximately 80 nucleotides in length. Their secondary structure includes four short double-helical elements and three loops (D, anti-codon, and T loops). Further hydrogen bonds mediate the characteristic L-shaped molecular structure. tRNAs have two regions of fundamental functional importance: the anti-codon, which is responsible for specific mRNA codon recognition, and the 3' end, to which the tRNAs corresponding amino acid is attached (by aminoacyl-tRNA synthetases). tRNAs cope with the degeneracy of the genetic code in two manners: having more than one tRNA (with a specific anti-codon) for a particular amino acid; and 'wobble' base-pairing, i.e. permitting non-standard base-pairing at the 3rd anti-codon position.
Source: RNAcentral